This 1009-nucleotide ribosomal RNA is filed under the name uncultured bacterium. RNAcentral describes it as "bacterial SSU rRNA". It matches the Rfam family "Bacterial small subunit ribosomal RNA", at positions 8 to 1064 of the family's 1533-position model. The record is from RNAcentral.
AGAGUUUGAUCCUGGCUCAGGAUGAACGCUGGCGGUAUGCUUAACACAUGCAAGUCGAACGAAAGUUUUUAACUUUAGUGGCGAACGGGUGCGUAAUACGUGAGAAUCUGCCCUUAGGAGGAGAAUAACUUCUGGAAACGGUUGCUAAGUCUCCAUAUGCCGAGAGGUGAAAUAGUUUUACUGCCUAAGGAUGAGCUCGCGCCUGAUUAGCUUGUUGGUAAGGUAAUGGCUUACCAAGGCCACGAUCAGUAGCUGGUUUGAGAGAACGAUCAGCCACACUGGGACUGAGACACGGCCCAGACUCCUCCGGGAGGCAGCAGUGAGGAAUUUUCCGCAAUGGGCGAAAGCCUGACGGAGCAAUACCGCGUGAGGGAUGAAGGAUUUUGGUCUGUAAACCUCUUUUCUCAAGAAAGAAGUUCUGACGGUACUUGAGGAAUAAGCAUCGGCUAACUCCGUGCCAGCAGCCGCGGUAAUACGGGGGAUGCAAGCGUUAUCCGGAAUCAUUGGGCGUAAAGCGCCUGUAGGUUGUUUACUAAGUCUGUUGUUAAAGACUAGGGCUUAACCCUAGAAAAGCAGUGGAAACUGGUAGACUUGAGUUUGAUAGGGGUAGAGGGAAUUUCUAGUGUAGCGGUGAAAUGCGUAGAUAUUAGAAAGAACACCGGCGGCGAAGGCGCUCUACUGGAUCAUUACUGACACUCAGAGGCGAAAGCUAGGGUAGCAAAAGGGAUUAGAUACCCCUGUAGUCUUAGCCGUAAACGAUGGAUACUAGAUGUUGCAUCUCUAUGCAGUGUCGUAGCUAACGCGUUAAGUAUCCCGCCUGGGGAGUACGCUCGCAAGGGUGAAACUCAAAGGAAUUGACGGGGGCCCGCACAAGCGGUGGAGCAUGUGGUUUAAUUCGAUGCAACGCGAAGAACCUUACCAGGGUUUGACAUCCUGCGAACCUCUUAGAAAUUUGAGGGUGCCUUCGGGAAUGCAGUGACAGGUGGUGCAUGGCUGUCGUCAGCUCGUG